Molecule: long non-coding RNA, 1160 nt
Filed under: Sus scrofa (pig)
Lineage: Eukaryota; Metazoa; Chordata; Mammalia; Artiodactyla; Suidae
Description: lncRNA (ENSSSCG00025030552.1)
Source: RNAcentral
UUAAGAAUAUUAGUUAGGCAAUGAUCAAAAUAGAAAUUAAAAAAACCCACAAAGUUGUGCAUUUCUCUGUUGGUGAAAAUGUUGUGACUAAAGGGAGCCCAAGUAAGUUUCCCUAAAGUAUCCCUAGAAGCAGUGCUUCAAGAUCCUCCCAUUUGUACUUAUUGUAGAAUAUAUAUUCAAUAAUACAUAUAAAUUACAAGGCAUUUUAUUUAUAAAAUCAUACACACGGAAUAAUAAAUGUUAUUAAUGUCUAAAAGGAUAAGAAAUGGACCACUAAAUUCACUAGCGUAAUACCAUUUUCACUUCAGGGAGAAUCCUCUGUGGACAAAACCGGCCCAAUACCACCAUAUUUAUGUGUUCAUAUUUUGAGUGUGUGGGUGUGGAUGUGUUUGUGUGUGUGUGGGUGUGUUUGUGUGUGUGAGUGUGUGUUUUUGUGUGUAUCUGUGCCCUCAUAGGUUUAUUUUUAUGUAUAGAUUUUGCAUUCAAUUUGAAUUUUCUUCACAUUUCCCAUGAUGUUUACAUCGAUCUCUCCAUUUUAAUUUCAGAACAACAUUAGAGGGAAUAUGCUCAGUCCCUUUGUCAUCAGAAGGUGCAUGGAAAUGAAAUGAUGCUUCCUUUGAUUGCUGAGAUAGUCUUUGAAUUUUGCAGUUCCAAUUCUCAGAAGACAACGAUCAGAAAUAACUUUGGAGGUGUUUGAAAGUUUUGUUUUCCUACUUCCUGGUAUUGUGCCCUCAUCUUGAAUGAAUUCUUUCUUUCUUUUUUUUCAUUUAUUGACCAAUAUAAAGAGGAAACUGAUAAGUCCCAUGAAUGCAUUUCCCCGUGUUGUUAAGCAUGACUUUAUCGGUUAACUGUGCCUUUCCCUUCAACUUCCAAAGAUCAUCUUUCUCAAAUCCAAUACGUGCAUAUUUGCUAUUCAAUCAUCCCUCAAUACUGCUAUUUGAUUUGUCCUGUUAUUGCAGUGUAUUCACAGCCAUUCCUUUUAAGUCGAGCAUUUUUUACUAAUCGUAUGCCUCUGAAGUAAUGGUUUGUCAAAGUGGCCAAAGUGAAAAUUUUGUCCAAGACAUGCUCAAGUCACAUGAUUUAGACCUACUUCAAAUCCAUUAACACGUCUUUUUGCUGAACAUAAUAAAAUCGUAUUUAAGCAUGGAUAAAAGAGAAAC